Molecule: ribosomal RNA, 428 nt
Filed under: uncultured bacterium
Lineage: Bacteria
Description: bacterial SSU rRNA
Rfam family: Bacterial small subunit ribosomal RNA
Source: RNAcentral
UGGGGAAUCUUGCGCAAUGGGCGACAGCCUGACGCAGCAACGCCGCGUGGGGGAAGACGGCCUUCGGGUUGUAAACCCCUUUCAGGAGGGACGAAGCCCCGGCAGUGAAUAGCUGUCCGGGGUGACGGUACCUCCAGAAGAAGCCCCGGCUAACUACGUGCCAGCAGCCGCGGUAAUACGUAGGGGGCCAGCGUUGUCCGGAAUCAUUGGGCGUAAAGCGCGCGUAGGCGGCCAGAUAAGUCCGGUGUGAAAGUCACAGGCUCAACCUGUGAAUGCCGCUGGAAACUGUCUGGCUAGAGUCCGGGAGGGGCGAGUGGAAUUCCUGGUGUAGCGGUGAAAUGCGCAGAUAUCAGGAGGAACACCAAUGGCGAAGGCAGCUCGCUGGAACGGUACUGACGCUGAGGCGCGAAAGCGUGGGGAGCGAACAG